RNAcentral lists this ribosomal RNA (456 nucleotides) under uncultured bacterium. Its description in RNAcentral is "bacterial SSU rRNA". It matches the Rfam family "Bacterial small subunit ribosomal RNA", at positions 28 to 524 of the family's 1533-position model. The record is from RNAcentral.
GAUAAACGCUGGCGGCGUGCCUAACACAUGCAAGUCGAACGAUCCCGCAAGGGAGAGUGGCGGAAGGGUGAGUAACACGUGGGAAUCUACCUCCUCGCAGGGAACAACCUCUCGAAAGAGAGGCUAAUACCCAAAAGGGUCAGAAAUGAUCAGAGUCGAAAGGCGUGAGGAGAGGAGCCCGCGGCCCAUCAGCUAGUUGGUGAGGUAAUGGCUUACCAAGGCUACGACGGGUAGGGGAUCUGAGAGGAUGUCCCCCACACUGGAACUGAAACACGGUCCAGACGCCUACGGGUGGCAGCAGUGAGGAAUAUUGGACAAUGGGCGAAAGCCCGAUCCAGCAACGCCGCGUGGAGGAUGGAAGGCCUUCGGGUCGUAAACUUCUUUAGAGGGAGACGAGAAAGGACGGUAUCCCUAAGAAUAAGCGACGGCAAACUACGUGCCAGCAGCCGCGGUAAU